Macaca mulatta (Rhesus monkey) is the source of this 304-nucleotide non-coding RNA. NCBI's taxonomy places the organism in Eukaryota, Metazoa, Chordata, Mammalia, Primates, Cercopithecidae. The record is from RefSeq and is a predicted model, not a curated record.
GCCGCCAGAGGGCACUGUCCGGCCCCCGCCGGGACCCCGCCGAGCGGCAGCCAGGUGGCCUGAGCAUGGCAGACAAAGCUGAUGUCAGAUGGAGGCAUGUGGGCAUUUGUCAUAAGAGGUAUGCUCGGAAGAUAUGUCUUCAGAUCAUCUGCGUCUCAUUCUUAUGGAAGAGCCACGUUUCCACCAAGCUACCCAGACAUCUUAGCUCCAGAAUGACUUGGGAUAUAAAUAAACUAAAUAUAUCCUAUUUGAAUAACAAGUGGAAGACAGCUUGAUGAAUUGGACAAGCAGGUAAUACCAACAC